CGCUGAGGCACGAAAGCGUGGGUAGCAAACAGGAUUAGAUACCCUGGUAGUCCACGCCGUAAACGAUGGAUACUAGGUGUAGGGGGUAUCAACUCCCCCUGUGCCGCAGUUAACACAAUAAGUAUCCCGCCUGGGGAGUACGGUCGCAAGAUUAAAACUCAAAGGAAUUGACGGGGGCCCGCACAAGCAGCGGAGCAUGUGGUUUAAUUCG
Molecule: ribosomal RNA, 211 nt
Filed under: Acinetobacter baumannii
Lineage: Bacteria; Pseudomonadati; Pseudomonadota; Gammaproteobacteria; Moraxellales; Moraxellaceae
Description: partial 16S ribosomal RNA
Rfam family: Bacterial small subunit ribosomal RNA
Source: RNAcentral